CCUACGGGAGGCAGCAGUAGGGAAUAUUGCUCAAUGGGGGAAACCCUGAAGCAGCACCGCCGCGGGGAGGAUGAAGGUUUUAGGAUUGUACACUCCUUUUGUGAGAGAAGAUCAUGACGGUAUCUCACGAAUAAGCACCGGCACACUCCGUGCCAGCAGCCGCGGUAAUACGGCGGGUGCAAGCGUUACUCGGAAUCACUUGGCGGAAAGGGUGCGCAGGCGGGCGUGUAAGUCAGAUGGGAAAUCCUGUAGCAUAACUACAGAACUGCAUUUGAAACUAUGAGUCUAGAGUGUGGGAGAGGUAGGUGGAAUGCUUGGUGUAGGGGUAAAAUCCGUAGAUAUCAAGAGGAAUACUCAUUGCGAAGGCGACCUACUGGAACAUUACUGACGCUCAUGCACGAAAGCGUGGGGAGCAAACAGGAUUAGAUACCCCUGUAGUC
This 440-nucleotide ribosomal RNA is filed under the name uncultured bacterium. RNAcentral describes it as "partial 16S ribosomal RNA". It matches the Rfam family "Bacterial small subunit ribosomal RNA", at positions 338 to 795 of the family's 1533-position model. The record is from RNAcentral.